This 397-nucleotide ribosomal RNA is filed under the name uncultured bacterium. RNAcentral describes it as "partial 16S ribosomal RNA". It matches the Rfam family "Bacterial small subunit ribosomal RNA", at positions 523 to 918 of the family's 1533-position model. The record is from RNAcentral.
AUACGUAGGGGGCGAGCGUUGUCCGGAAUGAUUGGGCGUAAAGGGCGCGUAGGCGGCCCGGUAAGUCUGGAGUGAAAGUCCUGUUUUUAAGAUGGGAAUUGCUUUGGAUACUGUCGGGCUUGAGUGCAGGAGAGGUAAGUGGAAUUCCCAGUGCAGCGGUGAAGUGCGUAGAGAUUGAGAGGAACACCAGUGGCGGAGGAGAAUUACUGUAGUUUAAGGGACGCUGAGGAUGGAAAGUGUUGGUAGCAAAAAUGAUUAGAUACCCUGGUAGUCCACACUGUAAACGAUUAAUGCUAGGUGUAGGGGCUAUCGACCCCUUCUGUGCCGAAGUCAAAACAAUAAGGAUUCAGCCUGGGGAGUACGGCCUCAAGGUUGAGGCUCAAAGGAAUUGACGGGU